Molecule: transfer RNA, 40 nt
Filed under: Mesodinium pulex
Lineage: Eukaryota; Ciliophora; Litostomatea; Cyclotrichida; Mesodiniidae
Description: partial tRNA
Source: RNAcentral
GAGGCUCAGAGAGGCACAGAGAAGCCCAGACUUGUUUGUU